RNAcentral lists this ribosomal RNA (501 nucleotides) under Triticum aestivum (bread wheat). Its description in RNAcentral is "partial small subunit ribosomal RNA". The record is from RNAcentral. Lineage: Eukaryota; Viridiplantae; Streptophyta; Magnoliopsida; Poales; Poaceae.
AUGAAAUUGUCCCAUGGCAAAGACGAAGAAAACGGCCCCUUACGUUGUAGAGCGGCUUGCCGUCGACCACCACCCAUGGAACGAACUGGUGAGGAGGCACGAGCUCAGCUGUCUGUCUCCCAUACUCGAGCGAUAGCUGGAUGGAACAUGCGAAAUGCCAGCACUGGUUUAGCAAUUCAACAUGUAAAAUGCAUGUGGAUGAUGCAAGAAACGCAGAUGCAAAGGGGGACGGACAUUGUGGCCACGCUCGCCCUUGUAGCACUCCGUGACUGGCUUUGGGUCAAGCCCCUGUUUCUGGAAGCACGACUCCCACUCCCGGUGCUUGUUCUUCAACACCAGGUCCGACACGCAGUAAAUGAAGCCGAGAUGCACCUUCUGCAUAAAAACAACAGCUAUCAAUUUCAAGAAAAGUUCUCGUUGUCGUUGUUGUGUCAUGCGGUCGCAAUAAUACGUCGGGUGGUGAAGCAGCGAGCAGAGAUUAGUAAGAUGAGGCGUGAAUAA